Molecule: non-coding RNA, 535 nt
Organism: Kogia breviceps (pygmy sperm whale)
Lineage: Eukaryota; Metazoa; Chordata; Mammalia; Artiodactyla; Physeteridae
Source: RefSeq, a predicted model, not a curated record
GUUAACUAGCUCUUAUCUCUGUGAAAAUACAUACAGAAGGCCAGCCCAAGCGCAGCUAUGAUGGUAGGGUUGAGUAAUUGCCACGGAGACCAUCUAGCUAUCAAAACUUAAUGUGUGGCCCUUUGUAGAAACGCUGCUGACCACUGUAAGAAGAUAUCCUUCCAGUCUCGAGAAUUCCCCGGUGCCCCCGGCCACCGCCACCAGAUAAGAGGGCCAGAAGUCAGCACCGCCCCAAGGUGGUGUCGCCAGGACUCUCAUGGCUGACCCCACUUCUGCUCCAGAUGAGGAAACGAAGGCCCAGCCAGGGGAGCGGCUUGCCUGAGGUCCUCCAGUGCAUCGGUGCCAGACCAGGUGUUAGAGGCCAGGUUUCUGGAAUCCCAGCUUCCUGCCCUCCCCGGCCUAGCCUCUCACAGACUCCAGCUCUUUGCAGUUUGUGCAAGUUACCUUUAUAGUUUCUGACAUGCUGGCAUCUCACCUGCACUAUUAUUUCCUUCACAUUUAAACAGACUUUUUUUUUGUUUUACGUAAAUAAAUA